GAUGAACGCUGGCGGCGUGCCUAAUACAUGCAAGUCGAGCGAACAGACGAGGAGCUUGCUCCUCUGACGUUAGCGGCGGACGGGUGAGUAACACGUGGAUAACCUACCUAUAAGACUGGGAUAACUUCGGGAAACCGGAGCUAAUACCGGAUAACAUGUUGAACCGCAUGGUUCAACAGUGAAAGACGGUCUUGCUGUCACUUAUAGAUGGAUCCGCGCCGCAUUAGCUAGUUGGUAAGGUAACGGCUUACCAAGGCAACGAUCGAUAGCCGACCUGAGAGGGUGAUCGGCCACACUGGAACUGAGGCACGGUCCAGACUCCUACGAGAGGCAGCAGUAGGGAAUCUUCCGCAGUGGGCGAAGGCCUGACGGAGCAACGCCGCGUGAGUGAAGAAGGUCGUCGGAUCGUAAAACUCUGUUAUUAGGGAAGAACAAAUGUGUAAGUAACUAUGCACAUCUUGACGGUACCUAAUCAGAAAGCCACGGCUAACUACGUG
This 497-nucleotide ribosomal RNA is filed under the name uncultured bacterium. Its description in RNAcentral is "partial 16S ribosomal RNA". It matches the Rfam family "Bacterial small subunit ribosomal RNA", at positions 28 to 507 of the family's 1533-position model. The record is from RNAcentral.